RNAcentral lists this ribosomal RNA (327 nucleotides) under uncultured Anaerolineaceae bacterium. Its description in RNAcentral is "bacterial SSU rRNA". It matches the Rfam family "Bacterial small subunit ribosomal RNA", at positions 1040 to 1382 of the family's 1533-position model. Lineage: Bacteria; Bacillati; Chloroflexota; Anaerolineae; Anaerolineales; Anaerolineaceae. The record is from RNAcentral.
GUUGCAUGGCUGUCGUCAGCUCGUGUCGUGAGAUGUUCGGUUAAGUCCGCUAACGAGCGCAACCCUCGUCGUAUGUUAUAUGUGUCAUACGAGACUGCCGGUAAAAGCCGGAGGAAGGUGAGGAUGAUGUCAAGUCAGCAUGACCUUUAUAUCCAGGGCUACACACACGCUACAAUGGUCUGUACAAUGGGUAGCCAAGCCGCGAGGCGGAGCCAAUCCUGGAAGCAGGCCUCAGUUCAGAUUGCAGUCUGCAACUCGACUGCAUGAAGCCGGAGUUGCUAGUAACCGCAGGUCAGCAAUACUGCGGUGAAUACGUUCCCGGGUCUU